RNAcentral lists this long non-coding RNA (239 nucleotides) under Elaeis guineensis (African oil palm). RNAcentral's name for it is "long non-coding RNA (EGUI_LNC022897)". Lineage: Eukaryota; Viridiplantae; Streptophyta; Magnoliopsida; Arecales; Arecaceae. The record is from RNAcentral.
GGGAGAAGGGGGUGGGAGAGAUUUCUCAUGGAGAGAAAUCAAGGAGGCACAUCCAAGAGCAAAGAAAUUAGGGUUGCAUGUGGAUAGACUGCAGAUUUUUGUGCUGGGAGUCCUUGUUGAAUAGGAAGUUUUUCUUCACUUGGAUCUCGAUUUUUGCUGGGAUUAAAAUAGUAAGGAGGGCAUGAAAAGAAGACCUUACUGUCUUAAUAGUUCACCUAGAUGAGAUUUGAAAAGGUGGG